GCCGGGAGUGGUGGCACACGCCUGUAAUCCCAGCGGCUCGGGAGGCUGAGACAGAAGGAUCACGAGUUCAAAGACAGCCUCACCAAAGUGAGGUGCUAAGCAACUCAGUGAGACCCUUUCUCUA
RNAcentral lists this small RNA (124 nucleotides) under Marmota monax (woodchuck). The record is from RNAcentral. Lineage: Eukaryota; Metazoa; Chordata; Mammalia; Rodentia; Sciuridae.